This 625-nucleotide ribosomal RNA is filed under the name Kocuria flava. RNAcentral's name for it is "bacterial SSU rRNA". It matches the Rfam family "Bacterial small subunit ribosomal RNA", at positions 1 to 638 of the family's 1533-position model. The record is from RNAcentral. Lineage: Bacteria; Bacillati; Actinomycetota; Actinomycetes; Micrococcales; Micrococcaceae.
CCAGAGUUUUGAUCAUGGCUCAGGACGAACGCUGGCGGCGUGCUUAACACAUGCAAGUCGAACGCUGAAGCUCCAGCUUGCUGGGGUGGAUGAGUGGCGAACGGGUGAGUAAUACGUGAGUAACCUGCCCUUGACUCUGGGAUAAGCCUGGGAAACCGGGUCUAAUACUGGAUACGACGUCCCAUCGCAUGGUGGGGUGUGGAAAGGGUUUUACUGGUUUUGGAUGGGCUCACGGCCUAUCAGCUUGUUGGUGGGGUAAUGGCCUACCAAGGCGACGACGGGUAGCCGGCCUGAGAGGGUGACCGGCCACACUGGGACUGAGACACGGCCCAGACUCCUACGGGAGGCAGCAGUGGGGAAUAUUGCACAAUGGGCGCAAGCCUGAUGCAGCGACGCCGCGUGAGGGAUGACGGCCUUCGGGUUGUAAACCUCUUUCAGCAGGGAAGAAGCCACAAGUGACGGUACCUGCAGAAGAAGCGCCGGCUAACUACGUGCCAGCAGCCGCGGUAAUACGUAGGGCGCAAGCGUUGUCCGGAAUUAUUGGGCGUAAAGAGCUCGUAGGCGGUUUGUCGCGUCUGCUGUGAAAGCCCGGGGCUCAACCCCGGGUCUGCAGUGGGUACGGGCA